This 1071-nucleotide ribosomal RNA is filed under the name Vibrio sp. 7330M. Its description in RNAcentral is "bacterial SSU rRNA". It matches the Rfam family "Bacterial small subunit ribosomal RNA", at positions 401 to 1465 of the family's 1533-position model. The record is from RNAcentral. Lineage: Bacteria; Pseudomonadati; Pseudomonadota; Gammaproteobacteria; Vibrionales; Vibrionaceae.
UGUGUGAAGAAGGCCUUCGGGUUGUAAAGCACUUUCAGUCGUGAGGAAGGUGGUGUAGUUAAUAGCUGCAUUAUUUGACGUUAGCGACAGAAGAAGCACCGGCUAACUCCGUGCCAGCAGCCGCGGUAAUACGGAGGGUGCGAGCGUUAAUCGGAAUUACUGGGCGUAAAGCGCAUGCAGGUGGUUUGUUAAGUCAGAUGUGAAAGCCCGGGGCUCAACCUCGGAAUAGCAUUUGAAACUGGCAGACUAGAGUACUGUAGAGGGGGGUAGAAUUUCAGGUGUAGCGGUGAAAUGCGUAGAGAUCUGAAGGAAUACCGGUGGCGAAGGCGGCCCCCUGGACAGAUACUGACACUCAGAUGCGAAAGCGUGGGGAGCAAACAGGAUUAGAUACCCUGGUAGUCCACGCCGUAAACGAUGUCUACUUGGAGGUUGUGGCCUUGAGCCGUGGCUUUCGGAGCUAACGCGUUAAGUAGACCGCCUGGGGAGUACGGUCGCAAGAUUAAAACUCAAAUGAAUUGACGGGGGCCCGCACAAGCGGUGGAGCAUGUGGUUUAAUUCGAUGCAACGCGAAGAACCUUACCUACUCUUGACAUCCAGAGAACUUUCCAGAGAUGGAUUGGUGCCUUCGGGAACUCUGAGACAGGUGCUGCAUGGCUGUCGUCAGCUCGUGUUGUGAAAUGUUGGGUUAAGUCCCGCAACGAGCGCAACCCUUAUCCUUGUUUGCCAGCGAGUAAUGUCGGGAACUCCAGGGAGACUGCCGGUGAUAAACCGGAGGAAGGUGGGGACGACGUCAAGUCAUCAUGGCCCUUACGAGUAGGGCUACACACGUGCUACAAUGGCGCAUACAGAGGGCGGCCAACUUGCGANAGUGAGCGAAUCCCAAAAAGUGCGUCGUAGUCCGGAUUGGAGUCUGCAACUCGACUCCAUGAAGUCGGAAUCGCUAGUAAUCGUGGAUCAGAAUGCCACGGUGAAUACGUUCCCGGGCCUUGUACACACCGCCCGUCACACCAUGGGAGUGGGCUGCAAAAGAAGUAGGUAGUUUAACCUUCGGGGGGACGCUUACCACUUUGG